CUCAGGAUGAACGCUAGCUACAGGCUUAACACAUGCAAGUCGAGGGGAAACGAUAGAGAAAGCUUGCUUUUUCUAGGCGUCGACCGGCGCACGGGUGAGUAACGCGUAUCCAACCUGCCCAUCACUUGGGGAUAACCUUGCGAAAGUAAGACUAAUACCCAAUGACGUCUCUAGAAGACAUCUGAAGGAGAUUAAAGAUUUAUCCGGUGAUGGAUGGGGAUGCGUCUGAUUAGCUUGUUGGCGGGGUAACGGCCCACCAAGGCGACGAUCAGUAGGGGUUCUGAGAGGAAGGUCCCCCACAUUGGAACUGAGACACGGUCCAAACUCCUACGGGAGGCAGCAGUGAGGAAUAUUGGUCAAUGGACGAGAGUCUGAACCAGCCAAGUAGCGCGCAGGAUGACGGCCCUAUGGGUUGUAAACUGCUUUUAUAAGGGAAUAAAGUGAGUCUCGUGAGACUUUUUGCAUGUACCUUAUGAAUAAGGACCGGCUAAUUCCGUG
Molecule: ribosomal RNA, 498 nt
Filed under: uncultured bacterium
Lineage: Bacteria
Description: bacterial SSU rRNA
Rfam family: Bacterial small subunit ribosomal RNA
Source: RNAcentral